Molecule: ribosomal RNA, 468 nt
Filed under: uncultured bacterium
Lineage: Bacteria
Description: partial 16S ribosomal RNA
Rfam family: Bacterial small subunit ribosomal RNA
Source: RNAcentral
GACGAACGCUGGCGGCGUGCUUAACACAUGCAAGUCGAACGGAAAGGCCCUGCUUUUGUGGGGUGCUCGAGUGGCGAACGGGUGAGUAACACGUGAGUAACCUGCCCUUGACUUUGGGAUAACUUCAGGAAACUGGGGCUAAUACCGGAUAGGAGCUCCUGCUGCAUGGUGGGGGUUGGAAAGUUUCGGCGGUUGGGGAUGGACUCGCGGCUUAUCAGCUUGUUGGUGGGGUAGUGGCUUACCAAGGCUUUGACGGGUAGCCGGCCUGAGAGGGUGACCGGCCACAUUGGGACUGAGAUACGGCCCAGACUCCUACGGGAGGCAGCAGUGGGGAAUAUUGCACAAUGGGAGGAAGCCUGAUGCAGCAACGCCGCGUGCGGGAUGACGGCCUUCGGGUUGUAAACCGCUUUCGCCUGUGACGACGCGUGAGUGACGGUAAUGGGUAAAGAAGCACCGGCUAACUACGUG